GACGAACCGAGCGAACGUUAUUCGGAAUCACUGGGCUUACAGGGUGCGUAGGCGGUCUGUUAAGUAGGGUGUGAAAGCCCCCGGCUCAACCGGGGAAUUGCGCCCUAAACUGGCGGACUGGAGUGAGAUAGGGGUGUGCGGAACUUCCGGUGGAGCGGUGAAAUGCGUUGAUAUCGAUAGGAACUCCGGUGGCGAAGGCGGCAUACUGGACCACUACUGACGCUGAUGCGCGAAAGCCAGGGGAGCAAACGGG
RNAcentral lists this ribosomal RNA (253 nucleotides) under uncultured bacterium. RNAcentral describes it as "partial 16S ribosomal RNA". It matches the Rfam family "Bacterial small subunit ribosomal RNA", at positions 524 to 776 of the family's 1533-position model. The record is from RNAcentral.